Molecule: ribosomal RNA, 1110 nt
Filed under: Triticum aestivum (bread wheat)
Lineage: Eukaryota; Viridiplantae; Streptophyta; Magnoliopsida; Poales; Poaceae
Description: partial small subunit ribosomal RNA
Source: RNAcentral
AUGUGGCGUCGCUGCAUUUGCUGUCAAGCCGCUGAGUUUGAUGAGAAUGAAAAUGGGCAUGCCAAGGCCAAGGCCAAGGCCUCAACAAAUAACGCAGAUGGAAUGAGAAAGGGUUUGAAAGAUUCUGCUACUGUGAAAGCCGAGCCACAAGAUUCAGCUCCCUCUAUCAAUAUUCCUGUUCUAUCUUUGGAUGAAUUAAUAGAGAAAACUGAUGAUUUUGGGGCAAAGGCUUUAAUAGGCGAAGGGUCUUAUGGGAGAGUGUACUACGCUGUCCUUGAUAAUGGGACAAAAAUGGCAGUGAAGAAACUUGAUUCUACUGAAAAUGAGCCCAUAUCAGAAUUCUCGACUCAGGUUUCCUUGGUUUCGAGAUUGAAACAUGAGAACUUCGUAGAUAUAUUGGGAUACUGUAUGGAGCGUAACCUUCGCAUAGUAGCCUAUGAGUUUGCCACCAUGGGGUCUCUGCAUGAUGUUCUACAUGGAAGAAAAGGAGUACAAGGUGCACAACCUGGUCCACCACUUAAUUGGAUGCAGCGAAUGAAAAUUGCUGUUGAUGCUGCCAAAGGACUUGAAUAUCUGCACGAGAAGGUCCAGCCUUCUAUUGUACACAGAGAUGUUAGAUCCAGUAACAUCCUCUUAUUUGAGGACUUCAAGGCCAAGAUUGCAGACUUCAAUCUUUCAAAUCAGGCUCCAGAUAUGGCUGCUCGUUUGCAUUCUACUCGUGUGUUGGGAACCUUCGGUUAUCACGCCCCAGAGUAUGCAAUGACUGGUCAGCUGACCCAGAAAAGUGAUGUGUAUAGUUUUGGGGUUGUUCUCUUGGAACUUCUGACAGGAAGAAAGCCUGUGGACCAUACAGCGCCUCGAGGGCAGCAGAGCCUGGUUACAUGGGCUACACCAAGAUUGACCGAAGACAAGGUGAAGGGUUGCAUAGAUCCCCGGUUGGAGGGUGAAUAUCCGCCAAAGGGACUUGCAAAGCUCGGGGCGGUAGCAGCUCUGUGUGUGCAAUAUGAAGCUGAGUUCCGUCCAAGCAUGAGCAUUGUGGUGAAGGCUUUAUCUCCCCUUACCUUGAGCAGGCAGACUCCACCUGCACCAGCAGCAGCUCUGGACAGUUGA